CCCCCCUCCCCCCCCAGUUUUGCUCUGGUACUAGUUCUUCACACUUCCUCCUUGCAUUAGAUGAGUAGGGGUGGCAAAUAUGAACUCAGACCUGUAAAUACAACCCAAAUCCUUUUGAAAGAUUAGGGUUAUGAGUUUAGCGUUUCAAUCCGAAGUCGGAUAUGAUUUACAUAUAAAAUAACUUGAAUGGGUUGGAUUGAUUCUUAAACUUGGCUUUAUAUACAUAUGAAGCAUUUCCAUAAGUACUGUUGAUUUAAGUGUAGAAGGCUGAGUUUUAAUCAAAAUAGGAUGCACUAUUUGUAUUGGUUUGUGUUGAAUAUGAUGGUAAGAUAAGAUUUUUAAUUUUAUAUUUUGAUGUUAUUUUAGCUAAAAAAAUUAAUAACUUUCCACUAAUUAAAUUUAAAAUGUAAUUGUAAGGUGACCUAAUUGGAAUUAUUAGAUAAUUAAGAUAUCAUAUGAUGUUAACCCUAAUUUUUCCUUGGUAUUGUAAAUUAUAAUCAUCAUAUCAUAUAAAAUAUUAAAAGUAAAAAAGCAUUAAAUUCAUGUUCUUUUAGUGUUUUUAAUUUUAUUUUAAUGGAUAUACAAAUAUGAGAACAACCUCUUUUAUACAUUAUAAAAUCUAAAAAAAACAUAUAAAAAAUCUAUAAAUCAAGAGCAUAUAAAAAGAGAUGGAGUUGGCAACCACUUGUUGAAGAAGUACUGGAAAAGGUUGCCAUAAAAUGCCUAUAAAAGAGGCAUAUUUUGUGAGAGCAAGUUUGAGAGAGUGUGAGAGAGAACGUGAGUGUGUGCAAGAGAGUGGAGAGAAAGAGAGCUGCAAUGGGAGUUAAUGAGUUAAGUAGAGUGGAUGUAAUUCUCCUCCUCUACAUGUAUUUAUUGUAACCUUUCUCUAUUUCUAAUACAAUGACUAUCUCCUGUAGAUGUAGGCGGUUUUGCCGGCGGUUUUGCCGAACCACGUUAAAUAUUAUGUCUCAGUGUGCUUAGCCUCCUUUGAGCAACUAUCAGUACACCACCGGUCCGUGCAUGGGGGAGCAGGAAUCCCCAACAGAAUCUUCAAAGCUUAAGGUUGCAUUGCAACACCGUAUAAAACUUCCACGGAAGGGCUCUAUAUGACAGAGAAUUGAUCAUCUCUUACUUUCCUUUCAAGACGUUCAAAACUCUUGCAAUAUCAUUCUCAACAAUGACCCUUUUCACUAGGAUUACUCCUCCUUGUGGUUCAAGCCUUUUAUAUGCAGAACCGGAUCUGUCUAUCUCUGGGCUGCUCAUUUAGCUGGCCCCAGAUGGGGCCAUUUGCAUCAUGGUGUUGUGCUUGGCUUGAGACCACAGGGCUAGUUGCAGGCAUCGGUACUCAGGUAGUUUUCUUUUCAGUGGACUCUCACCAUUAGAGAAUGAGAUUCAGAUGUUGACUUCUUUUACUUCGAAGGCAUAUGCUGGUUCACAAACUUUGCAGAGUAUCAUCCUAUUAUCCACUGGCACAAAUAAAAAUGGAGGAUUUUGCACCUAAAUGGUUGUUCUUAUGCAUGUACAUUGGCCUCACGUUGAUAUGGGCAGUGCUCACCACAUUUGCAUUAGAAGUAAUAGCCUUGAUCGAUGUAAUUUCCAUAUGUUGGGGUAAAAUCUAAUGCUUUUUGUAUGACUGCUAUAUUUUUUCCUUUUCCCCUUCCUCUCAAGUGCAAAAAUAAAAACUAUUGAUUGCGAUUUCUUAUGGUAAGUUAUUGGAGGACUGGUUAUUGUUAUAAUGCUUCCUUUGGUGGCACUGACGACGACAAAAUCUGCUUCAUAUGUGCUCACACAUUUCGAAAUGGCACCCGAAUCGACAGGAAUAUCAAACAAACCUUACGCAGUCAUUCUAUCUUUCCUUGUUACUCAGUAUUCCCUAUAUGGAUACGAUGCUGCAGACCAUCUUACAGAAGAAACUAAAGGAUUUUGGCUGCCUUUAUUACCCAAGAAAUGAGAAUGCAGGUGAAUUGUGCCAGCUCAAAUACUCUAUGAUGCAUUCCAUGGCAGACAUCAUAAUUCUGCUGGAGCAAUCGUUUUUACUGUUUACCAUAUGGGGCUCAUUCUUCUUCAGAGGGCUCUCGAUCACCACCAGUGCAGCUAGUGUGAGGCAGUGGAGCAACGUAUUCAGCUUCUGCUGUAGAUUGGGCAACAAUUUCUUAUUUCUUUGAGCUCCAUGAAAAAACACCUGAACCAAAGCUGAAGCAAUAACCAGAGCUUCCUGUUAUCAGCAAAUCGUCAACAUAAAGAGAUACAACAAGUAUCUGUCCUUCAGCUCCUUUUACGUAAAGAGUAGAUUCACUUAGACUUCUUAUAAAGCCUAAGUUUUGCAAAAAAACCUUCAGGUUGUUCAACAAAGAUUUCUUCCUCCAAGUAACCAUUCAAAAAAGCUAACUUUACAUCCAUUUGAUGUAAAGUCCAGCCUUUUUGUGCAGCAAGUGCCAGCAGCAUCCUUAUUGUAUCCAUCCUUGCAACUGGAGCGAAUGUUUAAGAAAAAUCCACCCCAAACAUCUGAGCAUAUCCCUUGACAACCAGCCUUGCCUUGUAUUUAUUCACAGAACCAUCCGAAUUCAAUUUGGUCCUGAAAAUCCAUUUGACUCCUAUGGCUUUUUUGU
Populus nigra (black poplar) is the source of this 2609-nucleotide long non-coding RNA. RefSeq lists it as uncharacterized. NCBI's taxonomy places the organism in Eukaryota, Viridiplantae, Streptophyta, Magnoliopsida, Malpighiales, Salicaceae. The transcript is spliced from 8 exons. The record is from RefSeq and is a predicted model, not a curated record.